CCCAUUCCUUUAUUACAUAAUUACAUUUGAGUCUCCCGAGUAUUUAUACGAAGUCUAAAUACAGAGGCCCUAAGUAUGGUAUAAACAACAACAGCAGCCAAAUGCUGCUUCAAAUUUUUUUGGUGUUUAAAAAAAAAUGCUGCUUUAAAGCAUGGGGUUAUUUUUUUUUCAAACCAUGUUGCAACAGUGCAUGUUUAAUGAAAAUUUCAAAACACCAAAAACACCCUCGUCACUCUCCUAAUCUGCAAACUUCGCUAUUUCAAUAGUGGUCCCGACUCGCCUAUCAAAUCUUUCUUUUGGGGAUUGAUUCUGGGAAUUAAUUGACCAGCAAACGACAUUGAGGUUGUAAGUGGCACCUCGAAUCUGGGGGUUGAUUCACCAGCAACAGCGUCAUGGCUUCCCCAAAGCAGUAACUGUCCCUUCCCUCUCUCCUUGCACGAACCAUAUUACACAUCUACUCUUCAAAUUUCCAGCACCAUCUAACCACUGACUUGAUUCUUAUCCUCGUCGCCGAGCCUUCAAAACGCAGGCUACCCGCCACCCACUUGGUCGGGUUGAAGUCAGGAAGUUUCACACCACGACGCCGGCUCAGACUUUGACGAUGACGACUUCGAUGAGGUUGUUGUCAUCCUUCAGAUCAAAUCGGGGUGUUGGAUUACGAGUGGGUGCUUCGUUUUUGGCGAGGGGAAACACAAUGUUCAACAUGGUGAUAGGACCCAUUCCUUCGGAAGGGAAAAGAAAGGAAAAUGCAAAGAAAACAAGAAAUAAAAUAACAAUUCUUCGUUCAUGCUCUCCCAAAUGGUUAAAGUUGGUUCUUAUACAACCCUAGAGAAAGGAGUGUGCACGAUUGGACACGUCACAACUCCCAGACCGUUGGAUGAUGCCAACACUUACAAAUGAAAUGACAAUAAUACCAUAAUGAUAUAAACCCAAUAACUAGGAUCCUAACACGUGGUGGUUUGGGUUGUCGACUGUG
RNAcentral lists this long non-coding RNA (976 nucleotides) under Malus domestica (apple). RNAcentral describes it as "long non-coding RNA (MDOM_LNC007581)". The record is from RNAcentral. Lineage: Eukaryota; Viridiplantae; Streptophyta; Magnoliopsida; Rosales; Rosaceae.